Molecule: ribosomal RNA, 785 nt
Filed under: uncultured bacterium
Lineage: Bacteria
Description: bacterial SSU rRNA
Rfam family: Bacterial small subunit ribosomal RNA
Source: RNAcentral
GAGUUUGAUCCUGGCUCAGAAUCAACGCUGGCGGCGUGCCUAACACAUGCAAGUCGAGCGAGAAAAGGGGGGCAACUCCCUGAGUACAGCGGCGCACGGGUGAGUAACACGUGGGUAAUCUGCCCUGGAGUGGGGAAUAACACCGGGAAACCGGUGCUAAUACCGCAUACGAUAGCGGGAUCUGCGGAUUUCGUUAUGAAAGGAGCAAUUCGCUCUAGGAGGAGCCCGCGGCUGAUUAGCUAGUUGGUGAGGUAAUGGCUCACCAAGGCUACGAUCAGUAUCCGGUCUGAGAGGACGGUCGGACACACUGGAACUGAGACACGGUCCAGACUCCUACGGGAGGCAGCAGUGGGGAAUUUUUGGCAAUGGGGGCAACCCUGACCAAGCAACGCCGCGUGGGUGAUGAAGUCUCUUGGGACGUAAAACCCUUUCGACGGGGAAGAAACCGCAAGGUUGACGGUACCCGUAGAAGAAGCCCCGGCUAACUCCGUGCCAGCAGCCGCGGUAAUACGGGGGGGGCAAGCGUUGUUCGGAAUUACUGGGCGUAAAGGGUGCGUAGGCGGUCUGUUAAGUUGGAUGUGAAAACUCUGGGCUCAACCCAGAGCCUGCAUCCAAAACUGGCAGGCUAGAGUUCUGGAGGGGGUAGCGGAAUUCCUGGUGUAGCGGUGAAAUGCGUAGAUAUCAGGAGGAACACCGGUGGCGAAGGCGGCUACCUGGACAGAAACUGACACUGAGGCACGAAAGCUAGGGGAGCAAACAGGAUUAGAUACCCUGGUAGUCCUAGC